This 208-nucleotide long non-coding RNA is filed under the name Musa acuminata (dwarf banana). RNAcentral's name for it is "long non-coding RNA (MACU_LNC006980)". The record is from RNAcentral. Lineage: Eukaryota; Viridiplantae; Streptophyta; Magnoliopsida; Zingiberales; Musaceae.
CAAACCUUUGCUACCAUCUACCAUAGAUCCAAAACAUUCAUCCACAGCCCUAAAACUCCACCAAAUCACACCCUCAAACUGCACCCAAAAUAGCCACAAAACAAUCCUAAACCGUAGCCUACAUCCACCAAUCCACCAACCCUUUCGACCAUCACCUCUCUCAACCAAUACAUGCCUUUAACCCGACAACAAAAGAGAGAUCUUAACA